GUGAGGAAUUUUCCGCAAUGGGCGAAAGCCUGACGGAGCAAUGCCGCGUGAAGGAUGAAGGCCUAUGGGUUGUAAACUUCUUUUCUCAGAAAAGAAUUAUGACGGUAUCUGAGGAAUAAGCAUCGGCUAACUCUGUGCCAGCAGCCGCGGUAAGACAGAGGAUGCAAGCGUUAUCCGGAAUGAUUGGGCGUAAAGCGUCUGUAGGUUGUUUAAAAAGUAUUCUGUCAAAGAUUAGGGCUUAACCCUAGAUAGGCAGAAUAAACUUUUAAGCUAGAGUUUAGUAGAAGCAGAGGUAAUUCCCGGUGGAGAGGUGAAAUGCGUAUAUAUCGGGAGGAACGCCAAAGGCGAAGGCACUCUGCUGGGCCAAUACUAACACUGAGAGACGAAAGCGAGGGGAGCAAAUGGGAUUAGAAACCCCUGUAGUCC
Molecule: ribosomal RNA, 426 nt
Filed under: uncultured bacterium
Lineage: Bacteria
Description: partial 16S ribosomal RNA
Rfam family: Bacterial small subunit ribosomal RNA
Source: RNAcentral